Molecule: ribosomal RNA, 264 nt
Filed under: uncultured Pseudomonas sp.
Lineage: Bacteria; Pseudomonadati; Pseudomonadota; Gammaproteobacteria; Pseudomonadales; Pseudomonadaceae
Description: partial 16S ribosomal RNA
Rfam family: Bacterial small subunit ribosomal RNA
Source: RNAcentral
AGCACGUUAUGGUGGGCGACUCUAAGGAGACUGCCGGUGACAACCGGAGGAAGGUGGGGGAUGACGUCAAGUCAUCAUGGCCCUUACGGCCUGGGCUACACACGUGCUACAAUGGUCGGUACAAAGGGUUGCCAAGCCGCGAGGUGGAGCUAAUCCCAUAAAACCGAUCGUAGUCCGGAUCGCAGUCUGCAACUCGACUGCGUGAAGUCGGAAUCGCUAGUAAUCGUGAAUCAGAAUGUCACGGUGAAUACGUUCCCGGGCCUU